Molecule: long non-coding RNA, 556 nt
Organism: Humulus lupulus (European hop)
Lineage: Eukaryota; Viridiplantae; Streptophyta; Magnoliopsida; Rosales; Cannabaceae
Exons: 3
Source: RefSeq, a predicted model, not a curated record
UGUAUACCUGUUUGAACUUUUUGAGUUGUCCUUAGUUUUUGAGUUGUGAUUCAUUACUUUGAUUCACAAUCAUAUCUUUUUCAUAAGGAGAUUGAUUAACUCUGUAUGUUUGGGCUUUGGCUAUAGUCAAAUAUAUUUUCUGGAAUAUCUUUCUGUUUGAUGCUCAAUUCUUUGCUUGUACUGCUUUGUUAGAUCAUAAUUUGCUUUAGUUCAAAGUUUUGAAUACUUUUUGUUAAAAGAAAUUGGAUUUUGAUUUUUUUGCUUUUAGACAUUAUUGGUGUUUUUGAGAGUUAUAUUCUUAUUUAUGUAUAGAGUACUCUCGAUCUCUCUGUCGUCGCACCCUCACCUCACCCUCACUCUCGGUCUGCUCUCUGAUCUCUCCCCGAUCUCUCAGACGCCGAAGCCCAGAAAUUGAAGGAGUAUCUCUUGGAAAUUCGGUCACUGGUAUAAUAUAAUUUUGUGGCAUCAAGAUGUCAGCAGAUGUGGCUAGAGCUCACGGUGGAGACGCUGGCGGUGAUCCUCCACCGGAUCCUACUAGGAUCCCGACUACAUGCGA